This 806-nucleotide ribosomal RNA is filed under the name uncultured Methanobacteriaceae archaeon. RNAcentral's name for it is "bacterial SSU rRNA". It matches the Rfam family "Archaeal small subunit ribosomal RNA", at positions 82 to 885 of the family's 1478-position model. Lineage: Archaea; Methanobacteriati; Methanobacteriota; Methanobacteria; Methanobacteriales; Methanobacteriaceae. The record is from RNAcentral.
GCCCUUGCUCAGUAACACGUGGAUAACCUACCCUUAGGACUGGGAUAACCUUGGGAAACUGAGGAUAAUACCGGAUAGGCAAUUUUUCCUGUAAUGGUUUUUUGUUUAAAUGUUUUUUUUUCGCCUAAGGAUGGGUCUGCGGCCGAUUAGGUAGUUGGUUAGGUAAUGGCUUACCAAGCCGUUGAUCGGUACGGGUUGUGAGAGCAAGAGCCCGGAGAUGGAACCUGAGACAAGGUUCCAGGCCCUACGGGGUGCAGCAGGCGCGAAACCUCCGCAAUGUGAGAAAUCGCGACGGGGGGAUCCCAAGUGUCAUUCUUAACGGGAUGGCUUUUCAUUAGUGUAAAGAGCUUUUGGAAUAAGAGCUGGGCAAGACCGGUGCCAGCCGCCGCGGUAACACCGGCAGCUCUAGUGGUAGCAGUUUUUAUUGGGCCUAAAGCGUCCGUAGCCGGUUUAAUAAGUCUCUGGUGAAAUCCUGUAGCUUAACUGUGGGAAUUGCUGGAGAUACUAUUAGACUUGAGAUCGGGAGAGGUUAGAGGUACUCCCAGGGUAGAGGUGAAAUUCUGUAAUCCUGGGAGGACCGCCUGUUGCGAAGGCGUCUAACUGGAACGAUUCUGACGGUGAGGGACGAAAGUUAGGGGCGCGAACCGGAUUAGAUACCCGGGUAGUCCUAACUGUAAACGAUGCGGACUUGGUGUUGGGGUGACUUUGAGUUGCUCCAGUGCCGAAGGGAAGCUGUUAAGUCCGCCGCCUGGGAAGUACGGUCGCAAGACUGAAACUUAAAGGAAUUGGCGGGGGAGCACAAGGGC